CAAAAUAAAACAUUUUAGAUGUACCCCGCUUACAACGGGGCUAAGCCAAACCGUGGCUAUUUUGA
RNAcentral lists this transfer RNA (65 nucleotides) under Chaetopterus variopedatus. RNAcentral describes it as "tRNA-Val". The record is from RNAcentral. Lineage: Eukaryota; Metazoa; Annelida; Polychaeta; Chaetopteridae.